Labrus mixtus (cuckoo wrasse) is the source of this 704-nucleotide long non-coding RNA. RefSeq lists it as uncharacterized. NCBI's taxonomy places the organism in Eukaryota, Metazoa, Chordata, Actinopteri, Labriformes, Labridae. The transcript is spliced from 4 exons. The record is from RefSeq and is a predicted model, not a curated record.
CUGCACCUCCAACUACCACAACUGCAGCUCCAACUACCACAACUGCAGCUCCAGCUACCACAACUGCACCUCCAACUACCACAACUGCAGCCCCCACUACAACAACUGCAGCUCCAACUACCACAACUGCAGCUCCAACUACCACAACUGCACCUCCAACUACUACAACUGCAGCCCCCACUACAACAACUGCAGCUCCAACUACCACAACUGCACCUCCAACUACCACAACUGCAGCCCCCACUACAACAACUGCAGCUCCAACUACCACAACUGCACCUCCAACUACUACAACUGCAGCUCCAACUACCACGACUGCAGCUCCAACUACCACAACUGCAGCUCCAACUACCACAACUGCACCUCCAACUACCACAACUGCACCUCCAACUACCCCAAAACCACAAGGCUUGGCACAUCUCCAGUUAAGAGUACGUACCUUUGGAGAAGUCAGCAAUGAAAACCUCAUCGCUUUUGUAACACAGUUUUUGAAUCAGAAUGGAUUGAAUCAGGUAAAGAUUGAAAGCCUCCGAGUUGUGGGCAUGUGAACAGAAAAAGUCAAAAAAACCUUUGACCAGAGCUGAAGGAGGAUGUGGAGCUCCCACUUCAUAAAUCUGUCAUCACAUCUGUACUGCUGUUCUCUCCUUCUCCCUCUUCCUCUUCCUGGACACACGUAAAGCCCAGGGCCUUGAGCAUGGCUCUAC